This 576-nucleotide ribosomal RNA is filed under the name Nakaseomyces glabratus. RNAcentral's name for it is "eukaryotic LSU rRNA". It matches the Rfam family "Eukaryotic large subunit ribosomal RNA", at positions 62 to 643 of the family's 3401-position model. The record is from RNAcentral. Lineage: Eukaryota; Fungi; Ascomycota; Saccharomycetes; Saccharomycetales; Saccharomycetaceae.
AAACCAACUGGGAUUGCCUUAGUAACGGCGAGUGAAGCGGCAAAAGCUCAAAUUUGAAAUCUGGUACCUUUGGUGCCCGAGUUGUAAUUUGGAGAGUACCACUUUGGGACUGUACUUUGCCUAUGUUCCUUGGAACAGGACGUCAUGGAGGGUGAGAAUCCCGUGUGGCGAGGGUGUCAGUUCUUUGUAAAGGGUGCUCGAAGAGUCGAGUUGUUUGGGAAUGCAGCUCUAAGUGGGUGGUAAAUUCCAUCUAAAGCUAAAUACAGGCGAGAGACCGAUAGCGAACAAGUACAGUGAUGGAAAGAUGAAAAGAACUUUGAAAAGAGAGUGAAAAAGUACGUGAAAUUGUUGAAAGGGAAGGGCAUUUGAUCAGACAUGGUGUUUUGCGCCCCUUGCCUCUCGUGGGCUUGGGACUCUCGCAGCUCACUGGGCCAGCAUCGGUUUUGGCGGCCGGAAAAAACCUAGGGAAUGUGGCUCUGCGCCUCGGUGUAGAGUGUUAUAGCCCUGGGGAAUACGGCCAGUCGGGACCGAGGACUGCGAUACUUGUUAUCUAGGAUGCUGGCAUAAUGGUUAUAU